This 414-nucleotide ribosomal RNA is filed under the name uncultured microorganism. RNAcentral's name for it is "bacterial SSU rRNA". It matches the Rfam family "Archaeal small subunit ribosomal RNA", at positions 459 to 872 of the family's 1478-position model. The record is from RNAcentral.
CAGCCGCCGCGGUAAUACCGGCGGCCCGAGUGGCGGCCACUAUUAUUGGGCUUAAAGCGUCCGUAGCCGGGUUGGUUAGUCUCCCGGGAAAUCUGGCCGCUUAACGGUCAGAAUUCCGGGAGAUACUGCCAGCCUAGGGACCGGGAGAGGCCGAGGGUAUUCCCGGAGUAGGGGUGAAAUCCUAUAAUCCCGGGAGGACCACCUGUGGCGAAGGCGCUCGGCUGGAACGGGUCCGACGGUGAGGGACGAAGGCCAGGGGAGCAAACCGGAUUAGAUACCCGGGUAGACCUGGCUGUAAACGAUGCGGACUUUGUGUCGGACAAGCUAUGAGCUUGUCCGGUGCCGGAGGGAAACCGUUAAGUCCGCCGCCUGGGGAGUACGGCCGCAAGGCUGAAACUUAAAGGAAUUGGCGGG